RNAcentral lists this unclassified non-coding RNA (236 nucleotides) under Geastrum campestre. Its description in RNAcentral is "partial internal transcribed spacer region". The stretch from base 1 to 46 matches the Rfam family "Eukaryotic small subunit ribosomal RNA", at positions 1786 to 1831 of the family's 1831-position model. RNAcentral also lists the same sequence under 1 other name. Lineage: Eukaryota; Fungi; Basidiomycota; Agaricomycetes; Geastrales; Geastraceae. The record is from RNAcentral.
AAGUCGUAACAAGGUUUCCGUAGGUGAACCUGCGGAAGGAUCAUUACCGAAGUCAUAGAGUUUGAGACUGCGUCUUCAAUGGCGUGUGCUCGGCUCUUACUCUUCUCUAUCCACACCUUUGUGCACCAUGGGAUGAAAUAAAAGUCCCCUUUUUUAUAUUAAUACCUAGUUAUAUGCAUGUCCUUAUAUACUCUAAGGAGUUAAUACAACUUUCAACAACGGAUCUCUUGGCUUUC